AGGAUUGAACCUGACAAGUUAGCUUGGAGGGUUUGAUCCUGGCUCAGGGUGAACGCUGGCGGCGUGCCUAACACAUGCAAGUCGAGCGGUGCGGCUGGAGGCUUUUGCUGAAGGCUGCACAGCGGCGGACGGGUGCGUAACGCGUAGGAACGUGCCCCUCGGAGGCGGAUAGCCGCGGGAAACUGCGGGUAAACCGCCAUACGCUCGGGAGAGGAAAGGCCGAAAGGCGCCGAGGGAGCGGCCUGCGUCCCAUCAGGUAGUUGGUGGGGUAAUGGCCCACCAAGCCGACGACGGGUAGCCGGUCUGAGAGGAUGGCCGGCCACAAGGGCACUGAGACACGGGCCCUACUCCUACGGGAGGCAGCAGUGGGGGAUCUUGGACAAUGGGCGAAAGCCUGAUCCAGCGACGCCGCGUGGAGGAAGAAGCCCUUCGGGGUGUAAACUCCUUUUGUCGGGGAAAAAGGUCUGAUGGUACCCGACGAAUAAGCCCCGGCUAACUACGUGCCAGCAGCCGCGGUAAUACGUAGGGGGCGAGCGUUACCCGGAAUUACUGGGCGUAAAGGGUGCGUAGGCGGCCCCGUGUGUCCGGUGUAAAAGCCCACGGCUCAACCGUGGAUAUGCGCUGGAAACUGCGGGGCUUGGGUGCGGCAGAGGCAGACGGAACUGCUGGUGUAGGGGUGAAAUCCGUAGAUAUCAGCAGGAACGCCGGUGGAGAAGUCGGUCUGCUGGGCCGUAACCGACGCUGAGGCACGAAAGCUAGGGGAGCGAACCGGAUUAGAUACCCGGGUAGUCCUAGCCGUAAACGAUGCUCACUAGGUGUGGGGCGUAAAGCUCCGUGCUGAAGCUAACGCGUUAAGUGAGCCGCCUGGGGAGUACGCCCGCAAGGGUGAAACUCAAAGGAAUUGACGGGGGCCCGCACAAGCGGUGGA
RNAcentral lists this ribosomal RNA (928 nucleotides) under Fervidobacterium thailandense. Its description in RNAcentral is "bacterial SSU rRNA". It matches the Rfam family "Bacterial small subunit ribosomal RNA", at positions 1 to 936 of the family's 1533-position model. The record is from RNAcentral. Lineage: Bacteria; Thermotogati; Thermotogota; Thermotogae; Thermotogales; Fervidobacteriaceae.